Molecule: ribosomal RNA, 496 nt
Filed under: uncultured bacterium
Lineage: Bacteria
Description: partial 16S ribosomal RNA
Rfam family: Bacterial small subunit ribosomal RNA
Source: RNAcentral
GAUGAACGCUGGCGGCGUGCCUAAUACAUGCAAGUCGAGCGAACAGACGAGGAGCUUGCUCCUCUGACGUUAGCGGCGGACGGGUGAGUAACACGUGGAUAACCUACCCAUAAGACUGGGAUAACUUCGGGAAACCGGAGCUAAUACCGGAUAAUAUAUUGAACCGCAUGGUUCAAUAGUGAAAGACGGUUUUGCUGUCACUUAUAGAUGGAUCCGCGCCGCAUUAGCUAGUUGGUAAGGUAACGGCUUACCAAGGCAACGAUGCGUAGCCGACCUGAGAGGGUGAUCGGCCACACUGGAACUGAGACACGGUCCAGACUCCUACGGGAGGCAGCAGUAGGGAAUCUUCCGCAAUGGGCGAAAGCUUGACGGAGCAACGCCGCGUGAGUGAUGAAGGUCUUCGGAUCGUAAAACUCUGUUAUUAGGGAAGAACAAAUGUGUAAGUAACUAUGCACGUCUUGACGGUACCUAAUCAGAAAGCCACGGCUAACUACGU